GACGAACCGUGCGAACGUUGUUCGGAAUCACUGGGCUUAAAGGGCGCGUAGGCGGGCUGGCAAGUCAGGGGUGAAAGCCCACGGCUCAACCGUGGAAGUGCCCCUGAUACUGCCCGGCCUGGAGGGAGGUAGGGGCGUGCGGAACUUCCGGUGGAGCGGUGAAAUGCGUAGAUAUCGGAAGGAACACCGGUGGCGAAAGCGGCGCGCUGGACCUCUUCUGACGCUGAGGCGCGAAAGCCAGGGGAGCAAACGGG
This 254-nucleotide ribosomal RNA is filed under the name uncultured bacterium. RNAcentral's name for it is "partial 16S ribosomal RNA". It matches the Rfam family "Bacterial small subunit ribosomal RNA", at positions 524 to 776 of the family's 1533-position model. The record is from RNAcentral.